Long non-coding RNA from Malania oleifera, 893 nucleotides. RefSeq lists it as uncharacterized. The transcript is spliced from 3 exons. The record is from RefSeq and is a predicted model, not a curated record. NCBI's taxonomy places the organism in Eukaryota, Viridiplantae, Streptophyta, Magnoliopsida, Santalales, Ximeniaceae.
GGGGCGGCAGACGGGAGAACAGAGGCUUGCUUUAUUUUUCUGUUUUUCGCAGCUUGAGAGAAGAAAAGGACAGAGGAGGGUUUUUUUCUAUUCCACCAGCCGCGAGCCUUCACCACCGCCUGCAGCGAGGCUUCUUCUUCCCAGCCGUGAGAGCCUUCCCAGCUGAGAGAGGAGCACCGGCAACCGUGAGCCUUCCACCGCCGAGAGAUCCUUCCAGCUGCAACGGACGGGAGAGGGAGACGACGAGAGAUGGGUGCGGCGUUGGGUGUCUCUAACCUCAUGCGGAAGUUCACGCAAGGGACGAGUUCAACGGGGGAGGAAUGUGAUGUUAACAAUCAACAAAAGAGGAAGUAGAUGAACCAGGCUAAGAGUGGAGGGAGAGGCAGGCAUGGAGGUGGAAGCAAAAGAGUUUGUGGAAUCCAUAGUGCUGAAAGGAGCAAACCUUGAUGUUCAUCUGCCUUCUGAAAUCAUAUAGAAAUAAAUACUCAUUUAUCAGGGAGAUAUAUGCAUCUGAACACUUUCUUGCCGCAACAUUUACUAGGAAGAGAUCAUUAAAGGUUGAAAGCCAUGUCGAAGACUAGCUUCCCAAACCUUAUCAAUGCUGAAGAUAGUGUCACCACACUCGUGUGCAUUCCAUCCCUCAAGGGCAUGAACUAUCCCAGCAACGCGCCAUGCACUCAUAACCCUUCUUGGCAACCAGUUCUGCCACAUAUUUAAUUACAAGCAUUUCAAUAACACCGUUAAAGAGUGGUAAUAAUAAUUUUGUUAAAGAAGUAAAAUAAUAAAAUAUUUGGUUCUGUAUAUAUCAACACCUUCCAUUAUUGUCUAGAUGAAUAACAAUGAUAGUUUUUAUGGUCUAACAUGACCAAUAAAUGGAUUGAAUUUUUAUCCUC